Molecule: ribosomal RNA, 479 nt
Filed under: uncultured organism
Description: bacterial SSU rRNA
Rfam family: Bacterial small subunit ribosomal RNA
Source: RNAcentral
GAUGAACGCUAGCGGGAGGCCUAACACAUGCAAGCUGAGCGGUAUUUGUCUUUCGGGACAGAGAGAGCGGCGUACGGGUGCGUAACACGUGUGCAACCUGCCUUUAUCAGGAGGAUAGCCUUUCGAAAGGAAGAUUAAUACUCCAUAAUAUAUUAAUUGGCAUCAAUUGAUAUUGAAAACUCCGGUGGAUAAAGAUGGGCACGCGCAAGAUUAGAUAGUUGGUGAGGUAACGGCUCACCAAGUCGAUGAUCUUUAGGGGGCCUGAGAGGGUGAUCCCCCACACUGGUACUGAGACACGGACCAGACUCCUACGGGAGGCAGCAGUGAGGAAUAUUGGACAAUGGGUUAGCGCCUGAUCCAGCCAUCCCGCGUGAAGGAUUAAGGACCUAUGGUUUGUAAACUUCUUUUGUACAGGGAUAAACCUACCCUCGUGAGGGUAGCUGAAGGUACUGUACGAAUAAGCACCGGCUAACUCCGUG